This 3851-nucleotide long non-coding RNA is filed under the name Triticum aestivum (bread wheat). RNAcentral describes it as "long non-coding RNA (TAES_LNC018059)". The stretch from base 2492 to 2624 matches the Rfam family "MIR1120/MIR1122 microRNA precursor family". Lineage: Eukaryota; Viridiplantae; Streptophyta; Magnoliopsida; Poales; Poaceae. The record is from RNAcentral.
UUUUUUUUUCCUGUACUGUAGUUACUCGGCUCGCCCACCUAAUAAAAAGAAAAGGAGGAGAAAAAGCUAACAAAAUAGGGUUUCGAUUCCUCGCCUCUUGGAUAGAAGCUAGCGCCGGUAGCCACUUCCAAUAGGUCAUGUUCCUCGACGACGUCAAGGCGCGGUCACCUUUAAUGUAAAAGAGCCAAUUUUUUCCAUGUUUUUCUGUUUUAUUCCGUUUUUUCCAGGUUUUUUCUUUUCUUUUGUUUCUUCCCCUUUUUCUUCUCUAGUUAUUCUUUUUCAUUUUUCAUUUUAUUUCCUUUUUCUUCUCCAUUUUUUGUUUGGGUUUCUUUUUCCUUCUCCAUUUUUUGUUUUCCUUUUCCGGAUUUUUUUGGUUUUCUUUCUUUCUUUUUGUCUUUCAUUCUACAUUAUAUACACAUCGUCAACAUCUUUUCAAAUACUUGUUCAACACUUUUCAAGUACUUGUUCAACAUUUUUAAACACUUUGCUCAACAUUUUUUUAUACAUCAUCAACAUUUUUUUCAAAUACUUCUUCAACAUUUUUCAAAUACUUAUUCAACUUUUUUUGGAUGCUUGAUUAAAAUGUUUUUAAAUACUUGUUCAAACAUUUUUCAAAUACAUGAUCAACAUUUUUCAAACGCUUGAUUUAAAAUUUUAAAUACUUGUUCAACAUUUUAUUAAAUGCUUGAUUAACAUUUUUCAAAUACUUGUUCAACAUUUUCGAUGUACUUGUUCAGCAUUUUUUCGAAUGCUUGACCAAUAUUUUUCAAAUACUUGUUCAGCAAUUUGUCCCAAUGCUUCAUCAACAUUGUUUAAAUACUUGUUCAACAUUUUCAAAUACCUUUUCAACAUUUUAUGAUAUGCAUUCAGAAUUUUUCAAAUACCUUUUCAACAUUUUUAGUACUAAUUCAACAUUUUCUAAUACAUGAUCAACAUUUUUUAAAUUUUUGUUCAACAUUUUUUUAAUAACUAUUCAACAAUUUUUGAAUACUUGUGCUACAUUUUUUAAUGUGUUUUUGAAUAGUGUUUUUAUGUAAUAUAUGUAUUUAAGAUAUUAUAAAGUACAAAAUUUUAAAAAAGCAAAAAACGAAAAAAAAAACAGGAAACUGCAGGUGCUUCCCCGCGCGCUUGGGCCGGCCAAUAUGCUCGACUCGCUCAAGGCGAGGAAUAGUCGUGCCCUUGACCAAUGACUUGUUGACCCUUGAAACCGUUGACGAUUCAAUUUUUAAAAUUCAAAAUUUCAUAAAAAGAAAGAAAUAUUGUUCGAAAAUUUUAAAACAAAUUCAUAAAUUUGAAAAAAAAUGUGGAUUUUCGUGAUUUGUCUUUUAAAAAGCCAUGAAAUAUAGGGAAAAUGUUCACAAUUUUGAAAUAAAAUCAUUAAUUUGAAAAUUUUCAUGAAAUUUGUGGAAAAAAGUUCACGGAUUUAAAAAAAUCUUCAGUUUUGAAUGAAAAUUUCACGAAUUAGAACAAAUUUCACUGGAUUUCAAAAAAAAAGUCAAGGUUUGAAAGAUGUUCAUCAACUUUGAAAAAAUAAUCACAAAUUUGAAAAAAUUCAUUGAUUUUGAAAAAAUGUCACUAAUUUGGAAAUAUUGUGAACAAAUAAAGUUCACAAAUUUGAAAAAAGGUUCGCGGAUUUGAGAAAAGUUCAUUGAUUGUGAUAAAAAUAAAUUUCACAAAUUUGAAUAAUGUUAAUCAAUUUUUAAAAAGUUCACAGGUUUAAAAAAAGUUCACGAAUUUGAUAAAGUUCACGAUUUGAAUAAAUUUCCAAAUUUGAUUUUUUAUGUAUUUUAGAAAAUAAAAAAGAAGGAGGAACAAGAAAAAUGAAAACAAAAAGUAAAAACCCGAGUGAAAAAACAGAUGAAAAAUUGGACAAACUAAAAAAGUCUAGAAGGCGCAGAAUAAGAAGCAACAGAAGUAUUAGAACGCAAUAGUAUGUGAGCCGUCCGAGUUGGUUACUAAAUUUGGAAGAAAACGGUGAGGUUCUGAGUUCGAAUCUCAAGACCCGUGUCACCUUAUGAAGGUUGAAAAAGAAGAAAAAUGGGCCGAGCUCAGGAUGCGGAGGGUGUGCGCCGAUUUGUUCAGUUGCCUUUAAACUGGAGCAGGGGAAGGGAGUGUCGUUCUGCUGCUGACUAUCUUGUAUGGGCUUCUUCGAUCCCGGCAGCAGGGGCACAAUCAGGAACAAGUUUGAUGAGGAUAAUGGUAUGUCAGAGGAUGAUACCGAUCCAGGUGCAGCGACCAAGAGUAAUGAGCUUAGAAAAAUUCAGAACGCCGCACCCCAUGCCUAAGUCAGGAUCCACCUUGUGAUGCUACCGAUGCGUCGAACUCCCUAGCAUAUUUUAAAUUUUUAGAAAAAAUAGCACAUUUACACAAUAUAAAUGUAUGUUGUCACAAAAUUUCAAAUUAAAAUUUUAAAAUAGUGUAUGUUGUCUCAAAAUCUCAAACUAAAAUUUAAAACAUAGCUCAGAAAACAAAAUGACAAAUUUGAUACUAAAUAGUACUCCCUUCGUCCCAAAAUUCUUAUCUUAGAUUUGUCUAGAUACGGAUGUAUCUAACACUAAAACGUCACUAUACAUCCGUAUUUAGACAAAAUUAAGACAAGAAUUUUGGGACGGAGGGAGUACAUAAAUAAACUGGGCUUUUGAUUUGGCCUCUUGUCACAUUGAUGUCUAAUUAAUCAUUUGUGUAUCUCGAGCAGUGUUUUGAAUUUUGAUAUGAAAUUUUAUAAUAAUAUACAUUGAUGUUGCGUAGGAGGAAAAAACCCUCGGGUUUUCGGGGCAUUGCAUUCUCACCUAUCUCUUCAUACUCAAGCGACAUUCUCUCUUCUAUUUUGUUGACCCUCACUUUCGCGGUUGCUUCUCUCUAAGGCGGACACUGUCCUAUCAAUGCAUUUUGGCAUCCCACACCUUCAGCAGAUCACUUAGCCCCCUUUCAUAGCCUAUCUCUCUCUGAAAGGCCUCUGAUUUCACGAUCCAAUUUGAAAAGCUGGCUGACAAUUGUAGCUCUAGCUGAAAGAAAUUUCCCCACUCAAGUCAGGCCCUGGAAAACCAACCAAAGAAUGGAAGGAGUGCGCGAUGGAGGCCCUCGUAAAUCAAAUUAUAAUCUGAACUAUAGCCAGGGCAAAUCUCUUGAUAUCGGAGGCUGGUUUCUAGGCAUAGGAGCCGUCAAAGGAAAGGCUAGAAGCCUUGGCUUUGAUGCACCCCGACUGUACAAAAAGGAUCAGAGGUCAAAUUAGUUAACCAAUUAUGAUAUUUGUGAAAGAUAAUGAAGCUUCAUUCCCUUGCAAGCUGAUAUGGCGUCUGGAGAACCCAGCUAGCAGGUUUUGCAGCGACCCUCCCAGAGAGCAUAUAACAAGGAAAAAUCUGGUUUUGGAAGCUGAGCCUAAGGGACCAUUAACAACAAUCCGACAGUAACCACUGCGACAGUAAACGUCCUACUCUCAACAAGGAUCGCAGCAUCAAACAUCUGAACCAACGACAAUCUCAAACCAACAAAAAGCAGAAAUCCGAGCAGCCACAGACGAGGCGAAAAGCCCACAGAAAGUAAGAGAGUUAAUAGAGUUAUCUCUCUAUUAAGGCAAACACAAGUACUGGACUGAACGAUUUAUAUAUUCUUCACAAACCACAACCAAAAAAGAGUACUUGAUUAGCAACUCCAUUACAGAUACUAGUUGAUGCGGAAAACAGAAGGUAACUCAUGUCCAACUAACAUGAACCAGGCGUCGUCUGGCGACGCCAUCCACAUUUAUUCUUCGCAUAGACAAAGCAGGGACACCUCUGACCAGGCGCCACAAAGGAAAGCAGAGCACUCUACUGAGUCUUGGCCAUGUGGCGGAUCAGGUCGACAACGCGGUU